Molecule: long non-coding RNA, 662 nt
Filed under: Phasianus colchicus (ring-necked pheasant)
Lineage: Eukaryota; Metazoa; Chordata; Aves; Galliformes; Phasianidae
Description: lncRNA (ENSPCLG00000009860.1)
Source: RNAcentral
AGCCCGGUACUGCUGAUUUGACAUUGCCAGGAGAAAUCCAUAUUUGAAACUCAGCUUUGUGCAGUUUCACCGUAUCUUUAGCGGCAGUGCUUCUAUUGGAGAUUCAUCCCAGAUGUGAUCUGCAACUGAAGAGGGGACUGCAUAUGCAGUGUUUCCCAAGAGCUUACGCCUGAAGCAAUAGAAGAAAUUCUGCUGGAGCAGUAACAGCCGUAGCACCGCAGUCCUUACAGGCAUCCAUACUCAGGCAGUGUGCAGAAAAAUACUCUUCCAGUUGCCACAGAUGAAGCAAGCAGAUGGUUUCAGACGUGUAAAACCUCUACUGAACAUGGAGGAGAUGACCGUGUCUGCACAAGAGGUAGGAAUUCUGGCUGAGUGAUAUUGCACCCAGAAAUGUGCUUUGUGGCAAAAACACCAGUCUUUCCAUUCUACUUUAUUUAUUAAACAAGAGUCUGUGUAAUUCAGAAUGAUGUUAUGAUGGCUGCGUUUCAAAGUGAAUUCAGUCAAGAAGGAUUUCAUUUAGAGAAAUAUUGCAUUCUAGCCAGGAAAUUUCUAAUUGGUAUUUUGUAAUCCAGUGAGGCUGCCUCCAAGAAUCCUUCCAGAGUUACUAUGGGUGAGUCAGUACUUGUGGACACAUGGUCCACAAACCUGUGGGUUUCCUGAAU